UUACCUGGUCCGGACAUCGAUAGGAUUGACAGACUCAUAGAUCUUUCAUGAUACGGUGGGUGGUGGUGCAUGGCCGUUCUUAGUUCGUGGAGCGAUCUGUCAGGUUUAUUCCGGUAACGAACGAGACCACUUUCUCCAUUUGACGAGCCGGAGAAGGCGUUGGUAUUGAGUAUUUUUGCUUGCAAAAGUUUCUGCUAUCAUUGUUGAAGGCAUCGUAUAGUUGCCAAGGGUGUAUUGGUUGAGGUGGCAACAUCAAGGCUGAUGCAUUUGAGGUAAUCUGUGCGCUCCCUCCGGCUUAGCAGUGCAUGUCUUGCAAGAGUCGUGUAUUGUAUCAUGGAGAGACAACGGAAAAUAUUUUAAAAAUCCGAGGAAGUGUGGCUAUAACAGGUCUGUGAUGCCCUUAGAUGUUCAGGGCUGCACGCGCGCUACAAU
This 432-nucleotide ribosomal RNA is filed under the name uncultured metazoan. RNAcentral's name for it is "SSU rRNA". It matches the Rfam family "Eukaryotic small subunit ribosomal RNA", at positions 1215 to 1504 of the family's 1831-position model. Lineage: Eukaryota; Metazoa. The record is from RNAcentral.